RNAcentral lists this long non-coding RNA (27447 nucleotides) under Sorghum bicolor (sorghum). RNAcentral's name for it is "long non-coding RNA (SBIC_LNC018080)". The record is from RNAcentral. Lineage: Eukaryota; Viridiplantae; Streptophyta; Magnoliopsida; Poales; Poaceae.
GUGCCCCGGCGUCGUGUCGUGCGCCGACAUCCUUGCCCUUGCCGCGCGAGACGGAACCAAUCUGGUACGCACGCCUACUAGUUCGUUCCUUUAAUUACAUGUCAUAUUCAGUUAGUUAUCCGGUGUGUAUAGUCGCGGUCAAGGGGAAUAUGACGACGCGUCUAACACUUAUCCUUCGUUUCCUGUUGUCCGCACGUACAUAGCUCGGCGGGCCGACCUGGAACGUGCCGCUGGGCCGGCGGGACUCGACGACGGCGAGCGCGUCCCUUGCCAACAGCAACCUCCCGCAGUCGACGGCGAGCCUGGGUACGCUCAUCUCGCUGUUCAGCAGGCAGGGCCUGUCGGCGCGCGACAUGACGGCGCUGUCGGGCGCGCACACCAUCGGGCAGGCCCGGUGCACCACCUUCCGCAGCCGCAUCUACGGCGACACCAACAUCAACGCCUCCUUCGCGGCGGCGCUCCGGCAGCAGACGUGCCCGCAGUCCGGCGGCGACGGCAACUUGGCGCCCAUGGACGUGCAGACGCCGACGAGGUUCGACACGGACUACUACACCAACCUGCUGUCGCAACGGGGCCUGUUCCACUCGGACCAGGAGCUCUUCAACGGCGGGUCGCAGGACGCGCUGGUGAGGCAGUACAGCGCCAACCCCUCGCUCUUCAACAGCGACUUCAUGGCGGCCAUGAUUAAGAUGGGCAACGUUGGGGUGCUAACCGGCACCGCCGGACAGAUCAGGCGCAACUGCCGAGUCGUCAACAGCUAGAUGCCGAUAUGGAUCGGAUAUACUUCUAGCUUAGCUAUAGCUAGCUUGCUGAUCGACCGACCGACCGCCCAUGGAUGGGUCGAAACCGACCGACAUGUACAGCUAGCUAGCUUUUCAUCAUGAACUACAGUAUACGAAUAUGGCUAUAGAUAGAAAUCAUCAGUACGGAGUAUAUAGUAGAAUAAGUGGUGAACGACCACGCAAGGAGUGACCGAAGCAGUGUCACUUACAUGGCCAGGUUACCGAAACGAUUCACCUGACCUUUUCCAUUGGAUAUUUUGAAAGGCAACUAUAUAUAAACACCAUCCAUGCGUGUUUACUAUGGUCCUGAUGUCAUGUUUCCAACUUCGAAGCAGUGAAGGCACACUGGGGAAGAAAAUCCCUCAUAACUAUAUAUGGUCCUGAUGUCCUGUCACGUGUUCUCCACAGCCAAAAAAAGAGGCCGAAUUCUAAUAGAGCAUUUGGGCAUAGUUCACGCACUGGGCCAAAAUCUGCACAUCUAGUUCUGUACCGAGGCCUGGGCUAUGUGCUCGUCCCUUUAUGGGCCCGCCUAGUUUUGAUUUGGAAAACAUACCUAUAAUUUCUAUAAGUUGCUCAAAAAAGAAAACUACAGUUUCUAUAAAGGUUCAUACCCAAUGAGAACGAUUAUCAGUUAAUCUCUCUAAAGCUGAGCUCUCAUUCUUCAAUGUUGUUUUGGUUUCUCUGCCAUCCGAUCGGUUGAUCUGGCCAUCUCGGCUCAUCCCAGCCCUUCCGGGUGGAACCAAAGAAAUAGGUUCCUCAUGCUGGAGAAUCUGGAACAAGGUGUUAGAAUUUUUGGGUCGUCUAGGGUGUAGAUCAGUAGGGUUUUUCUUUUGUACUUGGGAUAAACAAUGUAAAACUUCAUGGAUCCAGAGGGGGAAGGGAGGAUGAGGGAAUGGGAGAGAGGUAGUGAACCAUACCUUCGUGUUGGUAGAGAGGAUCAUGGUCGAGCAGGUGGUGGCGGCGGAUUUCCUGUCGUUGGCAGUGCUUCCGUCUCGAUCAAUCUAGGGUUGGGUGGUGAACCCUGUUCCUUGUGCCCUGGCCUCCACCCUCUCUUUUAUGCACUGCGCGAUCGGGGCCCAUCAGCCAGUAGACGGCUGGACGUCCCCGAUCAGGAUGCGGUCAGGGGGUCCGGCCCAGUCUUUGGACUUGGGCUGGUGGAGAUCAAUAUAACAUUCUCCCCUUUGAUCUCCUCUUAUUCUUUAAACUUUGGACUUUAAACUUAACAUUUAUAUCUUUCUUGUUCCAUCAUAGAUCGGUUCAUAGAGCAUGUUUCAUCGUCACGGUCACUCAUCGAUAGAUUUAAUAGCUACAACACAUAUCUCUGUUCUCAAACAGAUUCUUUAACUUUGGGCCCUUUAUUGUCCAAAAAUCAUAGGCUUUCCCAUAAACCCAUGUCGACUGUGUGUUCUCUAAACACACUGGGUGGUAAGCCUUUGGUAAGUGGAUCCGUGAGCACUUGCUCAAUACUUUUAAUAUGAUUCCAGACUAUCUCCUUCACAAUGUGUAACUUUGUGUCCAUGUGUUUGACAUCACACUUGACCCGUUGUCGUAGGAGCAAAAUACUUAAAUGGUUAUUGUUGUUGACAACUAUUAUCAAUUCCGGGUAUAGGUUUUCUUAACCAUUUUCUGCCUUUUAAGACUCAUAAUAAGCUAUACUUUGGGUAUACAUCAUUGAUGACACCAUAACUAUUUCUUUGGAACUUUUCCACAACAAAACUCCAACUACAAGUGUUAGCUACUAUGUGGGUUUCACUAAACAUCUCGCCUAAAUUUAAUAUUUGUAUCAACAACUGUGGGAUUGUUGUUGCUCUUUUAUUGCCAAGUGGCAAUUGAUUCUAUAUGAUCCUGUAUUACAAGAUCCUUGAUUACAUUGUACAUCUUCUUUGAAGAGCCAACAACACGUGUUGUACAAGUCAUACAACAUCAACAUGGUAUUGAACAAUUUGUCGAUCUUGAAUCAUUGGAAUGGGCACGUAUACUCACUUAUAUUCAAGUCCUAGAUCUGUACAUACCAUGCUUCCCCAGAUUACAUUGUCUUUAAGCUUUCUUAUUUGGGUUCAAUCUGUUGAAAUUUCAUAUGGUCACUUUAAGCACCAUCUUUGUACUUUGUCUACUUAGGAGUAUCGUUGUUAUGACCAUUGUACUCCCUCAAUGAUAAAUCACUUUUAUCACAUUUACCCUCAAUGCAUACUAUACAUUAAGAAUGGAGAGUAUCUUUCAAGAGUAUCAUAACCCCCCUCCCUCAAAAUGUGGCAUGAACUUUAUUGUCAUAAUUUCAAAACCAUUCAUUACUCUUGAGAAUGAGGAAACUUUGAUUGCUUACUCAUUCACAUGAUUGUGUCAUGCAAAAUUGAGUUAUUUCUUCAAUCUUUUAGGAGUACACUUUCCUCAUUUCACUUCAGGAACUCUAUAGAGUCCUUCAGUACUUUUGCAAGUCAUACUAGCUUGCAUGUCAUUCUUAUCUUUUGGUUCAUAUGUAACUUCUUUUUUCCUGUGAUGCAUGACAAGUACUAUGCCAAAACUUCUCCCGCCAUGCGGGAUAAUUCCCUAUAAGGGACAUAAAUGCCAUAACUGGCUUUUUAGCAUAUUUAAUCAUCAAAUUCAGAAAUAAAUUCAAAUAUUCUUUAACACGCACAUGUUUAAUCCAAUGUUGGUCAAAUUAAACAUGCAUAUGACUUUUACAAUUCUUAUUAGUGAAACUGAAAAUAAAACUCUUUUGCAUAGAGAGUACAUAAAAGUUAAACUAAACUUUUAUUGCUCUAUCUCUUUUCUUGGACCAAUGUCCUUGAAUUCCUUUCUUUUUAAGCCAUUCUUUAAAGAGAAAACUAUCCCUUAUAUAAUGGCCUUCUUUUCAUGCAGACAUGCACUUUUCAUCUUCUGAGUCACAAGUACCCAGUUCUUUUCCUUACUGCCAUCAAAGAUGAAAGCAUGGAUAUCCUUUUUCUAAAACAUAUUCAACAAUGAUUAAUGAUAAUGAGCAUGAAAAUCCCUUGGUCUGCUUAAAGACAUGCACAUUAAACUUUUAAAUCUUUCUUUUAUAUUCUAAAUCACCUUUGGACAGAAAUAGAAUUAAUGCAUAUAGAUUCUAUAUAUAUAAAAUAUCAUGAUAUUGCUAUUAAAUAACUCUGCUAAGAAAAAUAACAAUAUCAAAUUUACUGAAUUCUAUUGACUUCUCUUUAAAUUAAAUUCUCCCACUGGUUCAAAUUUAAUUAAGAGAUAAUCGUCAUCUUUACGGCGGAAACGAGAAAAAUGCUAUUUUCUAUUUUGAGGAACAUUUCUGAUCUUUAUCCAUUCUCUGACAAAUUGGUCACUUUGAUACAAAAUUCAUCAGAGAUUCAAACUUUAAACAUAAACUUAUAAUAUUGUUAUCAUCAACUUUGGGCAGAAAAUAACAAUAUUAUAAUUUAUUGAAUAUCUAUAACUGCUCUUCUAAUUAAAUUAUCCCGUUGGUUCAAAUUUAAUGAGAAGGCAAUAAACUUUUUCUGUGCAGCGGAAACAUAAAAAAUUUAUUUAAUGCUUAUUCAGAAGCACAUUCCUUUACUCUUCUUCUCUCUAAACAAAUUAUCAUGUUGGUUCAAAUUUCAGUAGAGAUAAAUAUAUAAACUUUAACAAUAAUUCAAAAAUACAUGCUUCUAAAAAAUAGUAGAACAAAUUUAAUCGCCACUGUGCACUUUUGCCAUUUCGGCUCAGCUGGUCAAAACGUGGCCCACGGCCUUCUCUCUUACCUGUGCGCGCGAUUGUUGCCACAACCUAACAGUGGCCCAAAAUGCGUCGGCGCCCAGCAGCGGCUGCGCAGCCCAACUGGUCUGUGGCCAGCGCCCCACGCGUGUGCUCUCCCUGCCCAGGCCGCAACCUAGGCCUGGGCCGGGAAACUCUUCACCCGCCUGGGCCUGAAGCAAGCCUGAGUGUUUGGGGCCGUCCAUCUUCAUCCGACGGUCGUCCGUCCAGAUCGGUUGAACAAAACCAUGAUGGCCGGCCGCCUCCCUAAACCCUAAGCCAUUUUUUGUUGCUCCCUUCUACCUCUUCCAUGAUAGAGCGGUGGCCGGUGUGGCCACAGUUACCAUCAGUGCCAGUGAGGAAAAGGGGGGCCACUAGAGGAGAUCUAGCUCUUCUUCCACUUUCUUUCUCUUCCCCUUUCCCACCGUUCUAGUGCCAUACCCAGAAGGAGCAAUUGCGGCAUCGUCCACCCGUGGUGAACACGAUGGAGGAACAGUCGGCAUCACCAUGGCGCCCUUCAACGACGCGCGUGUGCGGCUGCAAAGCUACACACGGUGUCGUAGAAUGGUACCGCAGUGGUGCCCUGUGGCUACCCGAGCACACGUGUUCCUACGGUGAGGCGAGUAGCCGGCGAGCCGGCCUUUUCUUCCCGCGCUUUGCCGCUAGCGGCGGUAGAAAAGGAGCCCAGAUAGGACUCCCCUCCUAUCCAUCCUCACUUUGCUUUGGUUCCUUUAGGGUUAGGGUUUCAGGACGAGGUUUUCGAAUCAAAAAUUCGUUCUCUUCCCUUUCUUUUCUGUUGAUUCUCUUCCCCCACAUGUCGGCAAAACGGUGGCAGGUGCUUUAUCCCGCGUGAGGCGGUAUCAAUGGUGGUGGGAAAAACCGGGUAGGCUCCUCACAUCGUCCUUUUCUUUCUCUUAGGGUUAGGGUUCAAUCUGAUUUAAAAAUCAUUUCUUUUCUUUCUGUUCCCUGCUAGGGUUUGAUAGAUCAUCUGAUAUCAUCCUUUUCUUUUUCUGAACCGAUCUACACAGCUAGGUAGGCUCCGGUACCAUUGUUAGAAUCUUUGGAUCAUCUAGGGUGUAGAUUAGUGGGGUUUUUCCUUCUACUUGGGAUAAACAACAUAGAAUUUCAUGGAUCUAUAGGGGAAGGGAGGAUGAGAGGAUGGGAGAGAGGUAGUGAACCAUACCUUCGUGUUGGCAGAGAGGAUCGUGGUCGAGGAGGUGGUGGCAGCGGACUUCCCGUCACUAGCACUGCUUCCCUCCUGAUCGGUUUAGGGUUCGGUGGGGACUGAUGGACUUGUAGCGGUGAACCCCGUUCCUUGUGCCCUGGUCCCACCCUCUCUUUUAUGCGCUGCGCGAUGGGGGGCCACCAGUCAAUAGACAGCUAGACAUCCCUGAUGAGGACGCGGUCAAGGGGUCCGGCCUAGUCUUUGGACUUGGGCCGGUGGAGAUCAAUAUAACAUAAGGUUGAUCAGUUUUCAUCUCAGAUGAAGAUGUAGUAGGAAGAAUGAAGUUCAAAACUGAUAUCCUUGAUUUUCUUGAUAGUUCAUCAUCAAUCCACCGCGAAGCAUGCUAGAGAAUCCUUUAGUUCCAUAGCAGCUUGGGCAUUCGCUCUCUCCUCCAACAUCUUGCAAAUCUCCAUAGAAAGUUGAUGGGACGAAGGCUUCAUAAUGUUGCCCAGCUUCUUUGGGUCUGUCUUGUUGUCGACCAUAAUAGUAGAUCCAUCAUCGGCCAUAAUAGCAGCUCAGUUUGCUUUCUUCGCUAGCGGAGUAAAAAACAAAGCAUGUUGACCUUAAAUCCUACCAACAAACUGACAAGAGCUAGGUCAUCCAGGUCAUGGAUGGUCGAGACAUGCAAUAGAUAUAGAUCUAAACGACGAUACUGACUAGUAGGUCGAUGGGGUCGAUAACCCCUCUUGAACAGGCCCAUUGCAGUAGUAGGAUGUAAUAGGAUUAGCAAAGCCACGUAGAACACCGAUAAUCUCGUCGAGGAAAGUCCUAAACAGCUUCAAGGCAUGGAGUCCAUGCCACCUGACAAAGAUGAGCUCAUGGCUUCUCAAAAUAUAUCUGUAGAAAAUUCUUGGCCGGUUUCAUAUAUGGUAACUAGUUUCCAAUUUGGUGCAUUUUCUUCAAAUGAAAAAUAUAUAAAGAAGGCCAAGGAAAUAUUUGCUCUAGGUGGACUUUCGUCGAUGAUCAGCUUUAAGGGUGCAUCAUUCAAGAGAGAAGAUGAUAAAAGGCCGAGAAAAUAUAUUUUUAUUGGAGCUAUAUGCACUACGAGAAACUUGCUAAUCCGUGACGGAUUCUAGGUGACGGAUUUCUAAACUGUCACUAACAGACACAAUCUGUCACGAUAAUUCUUUUCUGUCAUGGAUGUACACCAAUUGGAUAUUCCCAGCCCGCUAAUUCAUGACGGUUUUAUCAAGAUUGUCACGAUGCAUGAUUUAAAAUUCGUCACACUCUAUUUAGCCCAAAACAAUAGGCAUGCAAUCAAUAUUUAGUGCAAAGAAAAAUAAAAAAUGUGAUUACAAAAAGAAUAAAAAAUUUAGCGUGUGUUGCUAUUUUUCUGUUAUACUCUAGUUAGCCUAAAACAAUAGGCCUGCUAUCAAUAUUUAGGGCAAAGAAAAUUAAAAAAUAUGAUUGUAAAAAGAAUAAAAAAAUUCCACAACACACACGACGUGAACCUAGCACCUACCGGUGAGCUAUUUGUUCUAUAUAUAUAUAACUAAAUGUGUAAUUGGAUACUUUUAUUUGUUUUAUGCUCAUGUGCGUAAUUUUUUCUGCCUACUGUGUGCGUAAUUACUAAUUCACGUUGUAAAUACAAGAAAAAAAUUAAAAUAAUGCGCCAAACAACUAAAACGCAGCGUUGGGCUCGAACCAGGCACCAAACGAAUCAGCCCAUACGGCCAUACCACUGUGCCCGGUGAGCUAUUUGUUCUAUAUAUAUAUAUAUAACUAAAUGUGUAAUUGAAUACACUUUGAAAUUCAGGAAGAAGUUCACGGUCAAUUGUAUAGGACAUAUAGAAAUUCAGAGUUUGGUCAAUUUGAUCCCAAACUUUGUUAAGUUACGAAAAUGUGAUACCAUUUGAUAUAACUGAAGUUGUAAUCUGUGCAUGACUGUACAAGUCAUCGAGCCUUCUUGCUCCUCUGUGCAUCCAGGUUGUUGAAGCAGGAUCGCAGAGCUUGGACGUGGGACUGCAUAUGUUAUGAAAAGGCAGGUACCCUAUCUAUUUUCCUUUACACAAUAAAAUUAUUUUUGGCACAUUAUUAGUGUUUGAUUUGCAUUCAGUUAGCUACAUUACAUUCAACAAAAAUAAAUGACCAAAACUAGUCAGCUCAUGUUUGAGUACUAGUGUGUUACUGCUUAACCAAAACUGCACUGUGCCAUCUGUAUUCUCCAGUGCUAGUUUAAAGCAUUAUAAGCUUUAUUCGUGUAGUCAUGCUAUCAGAAUUGUCACAUUUUAUUCUGGAAUCAAUUGGAAUAUUCAAUAGUGCUUUGUAACAUUAACUUGGCUGCUGUGUUGCUGCAGGUGUUCACCAGCUCACACUGUUGGUGCUCUGCUGUUUUAUUUCGGACAUAGCAAUUUGGACACUUGAUGUCAGAGUCCUGCAGCAGCUGCUCGUCCACCGUCGACAUUCAGGUAUAAGCAGUAUGCGCAUUCAGGUAUAAGCAGUGCAUACGCAGCUAGUGCACCUACAACUUUCAUCCACUUGACAGGCAAAGCAGCAAGUUGCAAGCAGUUUGCUUUUUUUUUUACUGAACCUUCAUAUCAGCAGCCUAGUAUACACUUUGAAUUGACCUAUUAUGGUAAAGUAGCCCUCCUUGAAUAUCACUUGCGCCCAUGCUUUUGGACAAUUGUUUAUUAUCAUGAUAGCUUUUUAGUAUAGCGUUAGUUGCUUAUAUGCUUGGCUGAUGAAAUGAGGUGGGUUGGGGAUGGGGACAUUGAGCUCUGUUAUUGUAGGGUAUUACCGGGCCAUGAGAUUGGUGUUGCAAAGUAGUCUUAUCAUUCAAAAACUAUUAUCUUAUCUGUAGAUCUUUUCUUGGUGUUUCUCUAAAAAUCUAGGAUACAGAUGCACAAUUUGAUAAUUGAUUGAUAUCUAGAUGCCUCAUUCCUCAAAUGAAUUAGAUUAUUAUUUUUCUAUUAAUCUGCUGCAUUCUGUAGCUUGCUACUAAUUAUUGUGUUCAAAUUUUUUGACAUGCAGUUCAGAUGAACACUAGCUGCGGAUGAACACUUGGUGUAGGUGUGCUGCAACUUGCCAUUGUAGCUUCAUGUAUUAAGCUGCCGAAGUUGUAUGCAUUUUUUGAAAUCUCAUUUUUGUUGUUGGCUUAUGUGCCAAUGUAAACUGCAAGGUUGAUGGAUGUUUGAUGUAUGUCGACUGAUGUUGGAUGAAAAUUCAUGUGAUAUGAUAUUGGAUUGAAAAUAAUAUUUUUGUUUGAUGUACUGUUAUGAUUAUUAGUUAUAUGAGCUGUGUAUAUGGGUUGUAUGAGUGUAAUUGGGUUGUGUAUGUGGGCUAGAUAUGAUGUAGUAGUGGGGUGAAAAGAACACAAAAUUGGUGAUGAAUUUGGGCUGCAAAGCUGAUGAAAAUGGACUGCCAAAUGGCUGAAAAGGAGCUACAAAAAUCGCUGAAAUUGGGCUAAAAUUUGGCCCAUCUUAGAUUUUGGUCUGUUAACAAUUGGUUGAGGUAGUGACUACAUUAUCAUCCACAUAAACAACCAUGCAAGCAUCUAUGAGAUGUGGCAUUCAAUCUGUGACGGUUAUUUUUUGUCACAGGAAAUAGACUUGGGCUGGGCUAACUAGGUCCUGGGCUCUAUGGUGACGGUUUAAAACUAUCACUGAUUUCGUUAAUUUGUGACGCUUUUCAGUAAACCGUCACCGAGCUUAAUCCAUGACGCUCAAUCCAUGACGAUUUGUGAAACCAUCACAGAUGUUGUAUAGUGACGGUUUUUUGGUGAUCCGUGACAGAAUUGUUUUGUCAUAGAUUAACAGGUUUCUUGUAGUGAUGCAAGUGUUCGUUGAUGAUGAGCUGCCAAUUUAAUUAUGGGCAACAAAUUUCAAUUACUAGAAGAAGGACGUGAUAAGCAAAGCUUCUAGAAUAAUUUAUACGUGUCCAGGUUAGCUAUAUCAAGUUGGAGUCGGCUGUCCAUUAUUAUUUUAAUGGCCUGGUCUCGUUAGUUUGGAUCCUGGUCAUGUGGUUUAGCGGGUCAUGGGCCUCAGCUUAAUUGAAUUAGGAGUCCAUGUGUCCUAUGCCUGCGGGCACAUAUAUUUGUCUUAAGUUGCUGUGUAUAAAGGGUUUAGAUUGGAUUAUUUGUGCUUGGAAUGGUACCGUGAAAGAUUGGGCAAAUUCUCAGACAUCAUAGACGUGUCCUUAUCCGUUGAUAUUGGCUUGUGGUUGCUCACGGUGAAUUUGGAUUUUUUUUUUCAAUGGCUGAUUAUAGUCAUGCUAAUAAAUAUAUUAAACAUGUGUUAAAACUUUCUGCAAUUUCAUAUCUCGCUGAGUACUAUAAUUGGGAAGAUGACAUGGAGAAGUUUUGUGCGGUGGUGCACUUAAUUUAUAUAUGCAGUUUUUCUAUGCAAGACGGACAUUUUUCUGAUGUUGUUUUGUCAUAGUGGCGGGAAUUAUAAAAGGAACACAUAACGAAAGGUGAAGAACCUUCAGGACACACGGUAUGAAAGCUGUGUUACAACGUUGGUUUGGUAAUGGUAAAGUUGAGCAUGCAGCCCGCGGGCCAAAGGCACGGCUCAAAGCAUGGUGAUUUGGUCCGGCUCGAGCACGGCACGACCCGAUCUUAACUGAGCCCGGGUCGGCCCGAAGCACGUAGCGGACCGUGUUUGGGCCGACCCCUCGGCCCGCUGGCCGGCACGGCACGGCCCGCUUUUAACAAUAGGCACGGUAAUGGCCCGGUAUUAGGAAAUUUGUGAAAUUUGAAGUAUCAGGUUCUGUGACUUGUGAAACUUGUGACUUUUGGCAAGUGAAAUAUGAUCUGAGAGUAUAUUGUGUUAUGUGAAUUGUGAAGUAUUAAUAUCUGUGACUUGAAUGUAACGUACUUAUGCUUUGUUAAAUUCUGUAUUAAAUUUGGUAUUUUUCAUAUAGCGGGCCACGGGCCGGCCCGAAGGACUAUUGGGCCUCGUGCUUUUCGGGCCGGCCCGGCCCGAAAAUCGGCCCACGGGCCAUGCCUGGGCCGUCAGGCAGGCACGGUGGCCUGUGGAGGCACGGCUCGGUGGCCCGCGGGCCAUACGGGCCCGUGCCUAGCACAGGCCCGUGCCGGGCCGGGCCGGGCCAGCCCGUUGCUCAUAUCUAGGUAAUGGUACAAAAUUUCGGGAUACCAAGCCAAUUGUGCAUUCAUCAUGGGGUGAUCUAAUCAAUAGAGACGUGUACCUUUCCUGCACCUCAUCACCCAACUCCUGAUGUUACCGGUAAUAAGAAACAAUUGAGUUCUAGUGGUUGAUAUAGCAUGACCGUGAAUGCUGAAAAUUCUUCGUCUUCUAAGACAUACGAAGAAUGUUGCUGAUCCACACAAAUUUAAAAUGAGAUGUGCUGCUAUAAAGGCACAAAAAGAGCCUAUUCAAGAUGAGGAGUGGUUGGUAGUGCCACGGGCACUAGGUAGCACUAGGGAGCCCUUGAGCCAUGGAGGCUCGAGGUGCCUGUUUUCAUCCUAGGCCUUAGCUAGCACCAAAUGUCAAGAGGUGGCCAACGAUUGGGCUCAAGCUCCUGUCUAUCGCAAGCCUGAGGCUCAAGCCAGCACCCAAGCCUUGAGUAGAGGCAGGACAUGCUCGGGCUCAGCCCAACUCUUAGCGAGAAGGUGCGUGCGAUCAUACCUUAGGGGUGUAGCCCCUGAGACCCUGGGCAUUCCAAGAAGGCUUUGUCGAGGAGUCUCUCGAUCGGUAACUUGAUCUCAAGGCUUAACAUACACUUAUGUUAUGAUCUCAUUAGAAAGCACAAUGCAAAAGCAAAGAGUGUCGAUAAGAAGAGGCAAAAGAAAAUAUCAAUCAUAAUCGAGCUAUCUUACUAGAAAGACAAUGGUCUGCCAUAGCAUCGAUCUCAUGCAUCUGAAAAGGAAUUUGCUUGGGACACUCAUGAAUGGAAAAACAAAGACCAUGUAAAAGCAAGAGCUAACCUAGAGGAAUUGGACAUAAGGCUCGAGCUCCAUCCUAAUCGUACUAGUGCACAGCCACCUUUAUCUGGCAUAAACCUAACUCAACAAGAGAAGCAGGAAUUCCGUGACUUCUUCCAUAGUAUCAAAGUUCCCUCUAGAUACACAACCAACAUCCAAAAACUUGUGCCUACAAGAGGUAAAAUGCUUCCCACAAAGGCUCAUGAUUGAGAUGUCAUGCUCACAACAAUGCUUGCAGUUAGUAUCAAGAAUAUAUUGCUAGAAAAAAAGCUAAAAGAAAACGUGAGCCUCUACUUCUUCUUUAAUGUAAUCUCUCAGAAGAUCCUUGAUGAACAAUGACUGGACGAUCAUGAAAAGAACAUGUGUGAGACAAUGUGCCACCAAUAUUUUUGUUGAUAUAUGUAAAUAUAGCUUAUUGUCAGCAACAUUUCUAUUGAACUAGAACAUGUGAGCUUUGUAGCCUCUUGUCUAACUAUUUUCUAUGUGUAGUGUGAUUGCAUUCUUCAUCUCUGCUAAUGUUGAGUAACAGACUAUCCUUUCUAAUUUGUAGGUCGAAAUAUUGGAGAAGCAAAAAAAUAAGGUAAUUGCUUCUCAUUUUGAAGAAGUUAAUUCUACUCUAGGUACAUGUUAUAGGCCUCAUUUUAUUACUAAGAGCAAACUUGGUUGAUGUGAAGAAAUUUGUUUUCUACAAAAGAAAUUCUAUAAUAUGUGGAUUCCUUUUUCAUGAAGUAUUAUAGUCAACCCUAUCAACAUCAUGGAUAUAACAUACCUCUAUGAGCAUAUCACUUUGCCUCUUUUUUAGAGACUUCUAGUUCAAACUAUCAGUCUAUCAUUGUCAUAUAUUUGACUAAAGUAAUACAUUGUAUGUGAAGUACAUAGAAAAUUAAAAACGAUUAAGGCCAGCAUGAUGUGGAUGUUAUUAACUAUAUUUUCUACAAUUGGGGCUAGGUAGAAGUAUUUAACUGGUUAAAUGAUUUCAAAAUUCUCUAAAUUGAUUGACUGACUUCCAUAAGAAAUAAUCUUUACCUUACUCAUUACACCUUGCAGUAACUCAACUAUUCAACAAAUAUAUAUUUUCACUAAUUCAAUGUUUUUGCCAUCAUGAUAGUAACAAUUGAUGGUGGGUUGGUUAGAGAGGCAACAAUGUCAGAAAUAAAACAGAAAAUAGAGUAAGGUUAUAUUUUUUGAGAAAGAGAUUCUCAAAUUGGAGUAAGAGGGGCCAAAUAGGAGGAAUUAGGGUUUGCAAAUGAGAGUGGGGAGGGAGAGGACCCCUUGCCCUCAUGCUCUUCGCACUAUAUAUAGGUGAUGAUAAUUUACAAGUGCCCCCUUGGUGGGGAUUUCUUGUACAUGCCAAACUCCACAAGUUGGACCUCUUCUAGGGGACAUGGCCCAUAUGAAUAUGGGCUCCCCUAACAAUAGCCCCUCAGCUACUAGGUUACUGUUGGUACUACAUGAUCUAGUAGAUGCUCAUACAAGAAGAGGCACAAUGCAACUCGAACCUUGGUUGCAAGGAUCUCCCUUUACACCUUGAAUGUGCACGCCUCACUAAAAGCUUCAUCCCAAAAUGGGAAAGAAGGGAUAGAGAAAAGAGCAUUCCCAAAACUCCAACCUAUACAUGUUUUAAUUCUCGAGGCCUGUAUCUCUAAGUGUCUUGAUCUUCUAGACAUCUUCAUCUUUUAGCUUUGAUUGCUUCUAUUGCUUCUGCAGCAUGGUUCAUUGACUUUGCUCGAUGUGUAGGUCUUCAUCUCUAGGACCAUCUUGAUGUGUUGGUCUUUGUUCUCUAAGGCCUUCACCUCUAGUAUCUUCUCGGUGCAUAGUCUUCAUCUCUGAGGCCUUCUUAAUGCAUUAGCCUUCCUCUUCAAGGCCUUCAUCUAUGAUAUCUUCUUGGUGCACAUGUCUUUGUCUCUGAGUCCUUCACAUCUUUGCUCAUGAGGACUGAACAAAAUACUUCACACUCUGAAGUGGUUGGUCUUCUAAUGUGCUCCACUAGAGCCUCUUGGCUGGUGCUCAUGACCAUGCUUCGUGUAGUCAAAGCAUUCAUAGUAAUGGAACGCUCAUGAUGGAAUCCUCAGCCAUGCUUGUGUAGUUGGUGUAGUUGAAGUAGACAUCUAGAAUGAAGUUGUUGGCAAGCCCCUUGGGCAGAAGUGGUUGACAAAGGUUUAAUAGGCCUCAAUGUCUAAGGAGUUGAUGUAGCCCCCGAGCUUGGCGAAAGUGGUGCAAGUCGUUGCAUUGUAGGCAUUGAUGUUGAAGGUGUCGAUGAAGGCUCUUGAGCCAUUGUAGUGGGUGAACAUGAUGAUGAAGUCCCUCUUGUUGAAGUGUUCACAGAGGUGAGUUGUAGAGCCACAUUGAAGAUGUUGGUGAGGCCCCUCCUGCCAAAGUGUUGGCAGAGGCACGUCAUUGUCGUUCACUGAAGUUGUUUGUGAAGUCUCUCCUACAUGAGCCAUUUGGUAGAGGCAAUGUUGGUGUGAACAUCAAAGUGUCAACGAAGCCCUAUGUGUUGACAUGUUGAUGGAGCGACUUGCUUUGGUUUCACCAAAGGUUUUGGUGAAGGCCUAUUGGCAGUUACAAAUGCAAAUUUAUAGCCACCAAUUUAUAUCCAAAGUAGAAGAAAUAAUCGGUCGUUGACACAUAUGCAUUAAGUAUUGAAUGAAUUCCACUUGUAUUCUGAGAAAGUAUGUUUUGCAGAUCAAUCUGUGGAAUCAAGUAGAAAAUACAAAAAAUCAAAUAAAAAGCACAAAGAAGAAAGCCAUUUUAGAAAUGCACAGAGGAGGCGAAUGAAGAAAUGCAACCAUACUUCACAUCUGGGCUGAAGCACCGAUGUGGGAGAGGUCUAGGCCCAGCUAGGAAUCAACCACAUGAAGGCAGUGGUGAGGUAGGCCCACCAGGGUGCUAGGGUACUUUGUGUGUGGUCGCACAGCCUGUCGCCUCUCAGGCCACUCUCCUCUGGCGGUUGCAUACCACCAUGCUGAGGUGGUUUUGGCUAGUUACCAUAUUUGUUAGCGUCAAACCGACCCUAUUGCAGCUAUAAAUAGAGGGCAGUGCUUACCAUUCAACACACCUUAUUUAGUUCACUCCUCUCUCUACAACCUCGUAUAGUCUCUUUUAGCUUUUAGUUGUAGUUUGAGAGCAAGGUAAGAGCUACCUAGGAGAGCUUGUCUCCUUGGAAGAAAGGCAACUUGGUUUGAAUAAUACUAUGAAGAGUUCUUUCAUAUUUAAGUUUUCAUAUCAUUCAUAUAGCAAUGCAUAUGAACUAGAGUAUAGUUGUUAUCUUGUUAUAAUCAUGAUAUAUAGACUAACAUAUAGUUUAUGUGCAUGUGAUGAUUAUGAUAUAUUCCACUUUAUGCUUAAUCAUUCAUAUAUCUUGUAUGAGGAAGAACUAGAGCUAAAUUGAGGUGGUUGUUCAUCAUGCCUUCGGGUGUGCCCAAGUCCUUUACCUAUUGAUCUGUAAGGUUAGGGAUCUGGGGUGAGUUGGGUAGUUUAUGUACACAAGCAAGGUGCUUGGGUAUAGAGGAAUGGGUGAAUACAUUUCCCUUUCUCUAGUCAAGGGGUAGGUGGCUGAUACGUCACUAGGUCCCGAUCUUCAUGACGUAGGAUCAACCUUUAGAUAACUAGCUUCAAAGAAGCCAAGAUAACUUACUGCAAGGAAUGAUAACUUGUGCAACCUGAUAAAUAAAACUCAAAGCCAACCACCAUCUUUAACCAGUAACCUGAAUCGAGGAUUCACCCAAAUCACACUCUCAAAGAACCAACCAACAUAGCCUAUAAUCAAUCAAGGACAACCUUGAAGGGAGUAGGAGCAUCAAAUGAGAGCAGAUGAAGCCACUGCUUCUAUAAUCCCGUGAGAAAAUCACAAGAGCAAAAGGGUAGAUAUUACUCUCCCAAUAUUUGUUAGCACAGAGUUGAAUAAAGGGCUUCUAUAUUUUGAUUAUCAAAAGUCUAAGAUUGCUAUGGAGUAAGGGGGUAUUAUAUUAGGAACAACCAUCCUAGAUAGGUAGAAAUAUGAAAUGAAAAAGAUAAGAUGAACUAUGUGAAAGGGUUUCCAUGAAAUGAAUUCCUGAAGAGUUCCCACAUGGUUGUUGGUCUUCUACACAGUCUUUAGUGUUUUCACAAUAACUCUACCUUGGAAAAUCCAAAUGAUGUGCAGCUAGAUGGUUGGAAAGCUAACUUAAUAAGCUUUCACCCUAUGUGUAGAAUGCACCAUGAAAUAAUGUUGGUUCAGUUUUGCAUGGGAAGUUGAAUGUUUGGCGGACUAUUGAUCGUCUGACAAGUCUUCACUACAAUAGGUUGGCUCUCACAAUGAAAUUUCCAAAUAGCACGGCUCUAGUGGCAUUGAAAACUAGACUUAAUAAGCUUUCCAAAAUGUCUUUAUGGACCUUUAUAGAUUUUGGGAAUCAAAAGUUAUGACUAAUUAUUUCUGAUGGUUGUGUCACGCUGGAUGAGUCUGAGCGCGAUUCUUCUCUGUAGUGCACUCUUGGUGUGUUCUUGUCUUCCUUCUUAGUUAACCUAGCCAAUAAUAAUGUACACAACUUGGGUAUUUCGCAAAGUAGCGUGUGCAUCUUUUGUUGUAAUUUCUUUGCUCGACUAUAUGUGUAAUUGGUCCAUCAACAACGUAAACUGGUCUAGAUGUUGGUGAUGUUAUGGUUGGACUUUUGUGCAUCUCGAAUGGUGCUAGCGUGGUCACAUCAGUGGCAGGUGGUGACAACCUUGUCGGUCCCUUGUAAUCCCCUACUUUCAUUUGGGGUGAGGAGUCUAAAUUGUCACAUGAGGUUGUUGGCAGACUAGUACACGGAUGACUCUCAAUCCAUCUUACGCUUAGCCCUAGAUCUAUUCUUAUAGCUUGUAUGAUCAUUAACUUUUCUUUGCAAGGCUAUAUUAGAACAUGCCUGCUCCACUUAGAUUAUUCUUUUAUUCUUUGUUUUUUUCCUUUUUUUGUCCUUGAGGUUGGCCCAGAUGUGUGUCCGCUAUCCAUGAUAUACCAUUUUUACCCCUAUUGUAUGCUAUGUCCAUCAUGCACGUAUGUCAUCAUGUUCAUACCAAUGCUAGAUACAUUACACCUUGCCUUCCUUUGGAAAAAUAUAAAUAAUAAUACCUUGGAAUACUCCUAGGUGAAAUGCUACAACGAUAGCUCCAUGUACGCUUACGGAUUUUGUCUGUAAUCAUUAGAACUAUCAUGGUUGGUGUUUCUUGGUGGCAUUAUUAAGACUAACUCUAUCAUGGUUGGUGUUUCUUGGUGGCAUUAUUAAGACUAACUCGAUCUUAACAAUGGUGCUAAGGAGUGUCAACAGGCUUUUCUAAGUGUCACUACCCAAUGAUUAUAUACUCCAAUAAACAUUAUUAGUGUCGAUGCCAUGGGAAUACAUUCCUGAGUAGUGAUGGUUGGAAAUGCCAACCAGGCAUUUCUAGCACCGUUGCCAAGAAACAGUUCCUAUUUUCUCGGAACCUAGUUCUUCCUUGUAUUUGUAUCUUUUAUUUUUAUAUAAAACAUAUAUUUCUUUUACCUUUUUCACCAUGGCGCCAACUUCAAUUUCUUACCUUUCUGCUUCAAAGAGAGAGUUCCAUGAGCCACCACAUUCUCCAAAACCAAACUGUUCAUCUGGCCAUGAACUCCACCCUAGCUUAAUAGCCAUGGUUCGGGCACUACACUUCUCAGGGCACGAAAAUGAAAACCCUCACCAUCACCUAUGAGGCAUCAAGGAAAUGUGUUCAUGCCUGAGUAUCUUGGACAUGACACAAGAAACCAUAAGGUGGAAAUUGUUCCCCUUCUCUUUCAUGGGAAAGACAAAACAAUGGUACACAUUCGCUAUAAGAAGUACAAAUGGGGACUGUCAACGAAAUAUGAUUGACAGUCUACCUAGGAGUAUGCCUAAGGUAGUAGAUUAGGUGGACGUGUGCCACAUAAUAAACUAGAUGGUGACGCAACACGAACACAAGAGUUUUUGUCUGGGUUCGGUCGUCGUGACGGCGUAAUACCUACAUCCUAUGUCUGGUUUGUAUUGUUGUGUGGUAUGAGAUACCAAUGAGAGAUGAUUUUGAGGGGGUCCCUACCUGCCUUGUGUAGUCUAAGGGGCAAGGUUACAGAUCUAAAAAUUAUUCCUAGUUGGUUACAAUUACCAUAUCGAGCAAGGAUAAAACUUACUAUUCUAACCGGCCAAGAUCUUCCUUGAUCAUUAAGCUAAAUCUAUUGUCUUGUGCUGGAUGUUGACCAGCUUGGUGGGUUGUGUGAUCUUCUAGCGAGUUGGGUCAUUUGGUCUGGGCCAGCCCAUGUCGAGCCAUGGGGAUAUAGGAGUUUAUGCCUGCACAGGGACUAGGAUGAACUUAAAGACAAGUUUUGUUUUGCAUUUUUCCCCAUAUCCCAUACUAGCUCUCUACCAAGGGCAAUCCUCGAUUUUUUUAGUAGUGUGAGAAGGAGUCUAUAGGUGCAGCUUGGGCAAGGUUUUCAACGUUAAUUCAGGCCGGCCUAGAGUUGUCAUUACUUGAUGGCAUGAUUUUGCAUCUCUUUUAUUCGGGUCUUGACAUAAAUGCUGACAUAUGCCUAUACAUGACUACGAAAGGACGGUUUACAAACAAAACUAUGACAGAACAAGUUGAAUUUCUUAAGCACUUCAUAUCCAAACACACUUCUUCCAUCGUAAGAACCAAACCCCUCUAGAUGAAAGUCAUGUUAAGUGUGGGGGAGUCCUCAUCAAUCGAAACCAAACUUAGAGCAUCUACAACUGUUUUGCAAAUGGGCGUUGCAAUCUUAUUUUUGCAAAAAAGUCUUUAAAACCUCUAUCCAACGGUUUGGCAAAUGGGCUUUGCAUUUUAGUUAACUUGGCAAAUUCCUAGCUAGGUUUGGCAUAUAUGCCAAUAGUAUAUUGUGCUUGGCCUCGCAUAGCCCCGCGCGUUUUCCUUCCCCGUUCGUGAUUCCCCUGCCGCCGCCAUUUUCUUCCCGUGGAAAGUUGGAAGCCGUGAUCUUACAAUUCUGCACAUCACUGGACAUCAAAACCGGCUAUAGGGGAGGCGAUCUUGAUCAAGCUGGCGGUGGGGGAGGUACGUACACCAUGGCUAGCUGAUUUAGCCCGACCUAGCUAAAGCUGUCUCUGUCUCCCUCAUCUUUCAGUAUGCUAGCUGCAUUCCAAGAAGCCCUGGUGGCUGCAAGCAAUCUCUGUUGCCCUGAUCUAUUCUCUUCUUUCAAGUGCACACACAAUCAGGAACUAGAAGGCGGCAGCGCCAGGAAUAGCACGCGACGAAUAGCACGUGAAGAAACACGCAUGACUGAAUUGACGACGUGAAGAAAAUUUUCAUCUGAAAAAAUAACCGUUGGGUCCACACUUCGGUUUUGCCAACUCAAUCUUGCCAAACCAUUGGAGGUAACCUUUUUUCUCCUCCCCAUAUUGAUUUGAGACUUGGCAAACUCUAUGUUUUGCCAAAGAUAAAAUGCAAAACCAUUGGAGAUGCUCUUAUAUCAUCCCUAGGUUCAACUUAUGAGCCCUCACUCAAACCUUGAACACCAUAGGAAACAAUGCUUCAUCCUUUGGAGUUCCCUAUCAAAUUUGAGGAUUAUGGCAAUACCUUGAAGUUAGCAUGGCACAAAUAACACACAAGAGAAGAAGAGCAAGACCAUCACUACUCCAUUGGCUUAGGCCCUAGCUAGAUCUAGCAAAUCUUAGGGAGAGACGUGAGGGAGAGCUCGGGGAAGAGCCGAAUUGUUGGUGUGUCCUUGCUUGUACCUCGAGAAACAUCAACUUUGUACCUCCAUGGGUAACUUGGUAAGUGUUCAUGGUUCCUUUGGUUAUAAAAGUCUUUUGAUUAGUUAAGCUAUAGUUUUGCUGGUUUGUGGGAUCAUCAUUUGUGGUAGCAAAAAGUCUACAUUACCCCCUGAACUAUGGGGUGGUGUUUACUUUACCCCCCGAACUAUGAAACAGUCUAAUUUAUCCCCUGAACUAUCAAAAACCGUCCAAAUCACCCCCGGGUGGUUUUUGAUGCCGGUUUUGCUACAGUAACCAUGGUUUUUUUGCUACAGUAAUUGUGGUUUUGACUUUUUCUUUUUCCUUUAAUCGAAAGACGCCAUAAAAAAGAAAAAGUCAAAACCACGGUACCGUAGCAAAACCGCCAUAAAAAACCGCCCGGGGGGUGAUUUGAACGGUUUUGGAUAGUUCGGGGGGUCAAUUAGACUGUUUUAUAGCUCGAGGGUAAAGUAGACACCACCCCCAUAGUUCAAGGGGUGAUGUAGACUUUUUCCUUUGUGGUAGAUGCUCUAAUAGAAGGGCCCUAACAAAGAAGAAUAACCCUUGUAUACACACUAGAGUUGUAGUCAAUAGUGUAGACUAGUAUCUAGGCAAGUGGCAACCUUUGUUUGCUUUGUAUCCCCCGAUUAAGGGGUAGACAGCAGGUGGUAACAACCUUGUCCAUCUUUUGUGAUCCCCCAUUCGGUAAAGUUGCAUCCCGGUGUCCAAAGUAAGCAAGUGAAAGUACGCAACAAACUACGGUGGGUCAAACUGGGGGAUGAGAACACUGAAUUUUUCCAUAGCAUUGCCACAAUUUCAUAUAAGAUGAAUUUCAUCAUUGCAUUAUGUGACUCUAAUGACAAUUAGGUCACUGAUCAUGAAUACAAAGCAAACCUACUAUGGACAGCAUUCAAGGACCGGCUUGGAAAUAGUGAGUUCACCAGCAUAUCCUAUGAUUUGGGAUCCAUCUUUCAUGAGCAUAAUCUUGAGAGGAUAGACAGUGAAUUCAGCCAGGAUGGAAUUCACCAUGUCAUCAGAUCACUCCCAAACAACCAUGCUCCUGGCCCAGAUGGUUUCAAUGGGCUUUUCAUAAAAAUGUUGGAAUAUUAUAAAAGGGGACUUCACUAGACUAAUGAAAGAUUUCUGCACUGAUAAUGUUGAUAUUAGUAGCAUCAAUUCCUCAGUCAUUGCUCUUAUCCCCAAAAAGGACAACCCUAAAAAGGUUGAUGACUUUAGACCAAUCUCCCUGCUCAACUAUAGUCUAAAAUGUAUCACAAAACUCCUCUCCAUCAGACUAUAGAAGGUGAUACUUGAACUUGUCCAUUAGAACCAAUAUGAUUUCAUAAAAGGCAGAACCAUCUAGGAUUGCCUAGCUUGGGCUUUCCAAUUUCUACAUCUUUGUCACCAAUCCAAAAAAGUAGUGAUUCUAAAACUUGACUUCGAGAAGGCCUUUGACAAACUGGAACAUCAAGUCAUUAUCCAAGUCAAGAAACACAAAGGUUUCCCUACCAAAUGGAUCAAAUGGAUCGAAAACAUCCUAGGCUUGGGUUCAUCAUCCAUCAUUCUCAAUAGCAUUCCUAGAAAAACCUUCAAAUGCAAAAGAGGUGUGCGACAAGGUGAUCCCUUGUCCCCACUUCUUUUUGUAUUGGUUGCUGAUCCUUUACAAAGCAUAGUAAAUAAAGCCUGGCUAAUGGGAGUCUUGACUCACCCUAUCUCGGAUACUUUUGGAGGAGAUUUUCCCAUUUUUACAGUAUGUUGAUAAUACUUUGCUUAUUCUGCCUGGUGAUUCCAGGACCCUCUUCAACUUGAAAGGUCUCCUGAGGUCCUUCCCUGAUUCUUGUGGUUUACAUGUAAAUUUCAGCAAGUCAUUCCUAGUGCCUAUCAACAUGACUAACAACAGAGCUCAACAUUUGGCCCAUACUUUUGGAUGCUAGUUAGGCUCUAUGCCUUUCACCUAUCUAGGUCUCCCCCUAGGCACAACUUAACUAGUUGUCCAAGAUUUCACCCCACCUCAACAGGAUUGAAAGAAGACUCUCUAGUUUCAGUAGACAUUUAUCAUAUGAUGGAAGACUAAUAUUGGUCAAUUCUUUCCUCACUACACUGCCCACCUUCUACAUGUGUAGCCUCAAGCUCCCACCACAAGUUGUAAAACAAAUAGACACCUACAAAAACAUUGCCUUUGGAGCAAGGGUGACAUUAAUAGAAAAGGUUCCUGCCUAGUGGCCUAGGAAAUAGCCUGCAAACCCAAUAUCAGGGAGGGCUUGGUAUUAUUGAUAUUGAGAAACACAAUGAGGCACUCCUACUGAAACAUCUAAACAACUUUUACAAUCACUAUGAUCUUCCAUGGGUAAAGUUGACUUGGUCCAAACUCUACAGCAACAAUCAAACACCCCCACAUGCAAGAUGCCCUAUUGGUUCCUUCUGGUGGAAGGAUGUUUUGAAACUCUUUAGUUCCUUCAGAAGCCUCACAAGAUGCAUUCCUAGCAGAGGAAAUAGUGAUCUCUUCUGGUCAGGCACCUGGAGCCCUUUACCGUUGAAGGAGAAAUAUCCUCAGCUCUUCUCUUUCAGUAAGAAACCCAAAUGUUCCAUCAGAUUUUUCUUGGAAAAUGAAGUGGAAGUUAGCUUUAGUCUACCAGUCUACCUCUCUCAACGCAAGUUGCUGAACAAUUAGAUGAGCUCAUGGAAUAUGAGUUGAAUAGACCCUGGGAUGAAAAUGUUGCUGAUAUCUGGAGCCUUUCUUGUAGCAACCCAAAAUUUAGUAGUAAGAAAACCUAUAGCCUUCUGAUUGAAAAUGUGUUGGCAUCUCCUUUAUUUCCUUAGCUCUGGGCCUCCAACAAUCUUGGCAAACACAAAUUCUUCUUCUGGCUGCUACUUCGGGACAGACUUAGCACAAGAAGCUUGUUGAGAAGGAAACACAUGCAUCUAGAUGACUACAGCUAUGUGCUAUGUUCCACAGGCUGUGAAGAAACUAGCUUCCAUCUAUUCUUUGCAUGCUCUUUCAGUCAAUCCUGCUGGAACUCGAUCUCAAUCCAUUGGAAUCUCAACCUACCUCCUCUAGACAUGGUGAUAGAGGCCCAAAGUCAGUUUGGAAAUGUCAUUUUCAGAGAAUUGCUCAUAACUGGUUGCUGGGUAAUAUGGACCAUGAGGAACUCUAUUAUUUUUGAUAAUGGACAUUGUAGCCGGUCCCUUUGGAAAAGAAGAUUUAAAGAAGAUCUGGACCUUGUAUGUAUUAAGGCCAAUGAGAAACGACAGGCUACCCUAACCCUUUGGCGAGAUAGCUUCCUACUAUAGUUUAUAUCUUUUUGUAAUUUGUACUCAUUUUGUUCUUCUUCUUUUCUUUUGUUCCCCUUGUACCAUCCAUUCUUUCAAUUAAUUGAAAUACAAAAAUAUAGGUAGGGGACUCCCCUACUGUUCCUGUAAAAAAGUAAACUUUAUCUUCUCUUAGACCAAAAAGGCAUAGGAAUCCUUCUCUACCCUCAUCCGCUAUCCUUGUGUUGUCCUUAGAUGAAUUAGCUAGAAGAAAUACAUAUGUUCCCUAUGGAAAAUAUGAUACCUUGAAUACUUCUGGGUGAAAACUACAAUGGUAAUUUCGUGCUUGCAGAAUCUUUCUAUUCGCGUUAAGAAAUACCAACAAGACCCUCCUACAAAAGGUUGGCGAAGGCGAUAUUGGUGUAGUAACCAAAGAUAGUGGCGAAGCCCCUCAAGACAAAGAUCGAAGGGCUAGGCGAAUACAAUGUGGGGAAACCCCUCGUAGUGAAGGUGUUAAUGUAGGGUGGUGUUAAAAGUGGCAAGCUUAUCAUGCACCUUAGAAAAUGAUAGUUAUGCUUGAACAAAUGUCAAGCCCUACACAUAAGGAAUAAUCCCCUUGAAUAAGAGGGUUGGACACAUGGCAUCGGUGAUGACAACGGCGGUGGGGACUCAUGCAGUAGGGAUACAGAAGAAGAAGGGUUUCAUGGAUAAGAUCAAGGAGAAGCUAGACACCACCACUGAUUGUGCACCUUGGUUGAGGACUUAGACUUUGAGGGACCUAGAAUCAUGUGUGAACAUGUCACUAUGUAUUGUGCAUGACAUAUAUGUGUCUACGUACCUCAUUUAGGUUUGGAUCGAGUUAUAUUGGGCUUAUGCUUUCGUGUCUGUAGUAAUCAGUUAGGGUUUAGGAUUUAGGGUUUGGGGUUAUAGUUUCCGGAUGGCUAGCAAAGACUGCCAUUUAGGAACCUACAUGGUUAGCUUCCUCCAAAAGUUACCUCAAAUAAAGUUUGGUUGAUGCAUUUAUAAUAACUUAAAAGUGACAAUACAACCUACAAAGAAGAGGAAAGAUGUUAGAUUUAGUGGGGGUCAAUGGUUUAGUGGUUGCCUAAGGUCGAUGGUUCAAAGAGUCUAAUUGCUGGUGAGGUUUGAUGUUUGAUGAAGUCUGAUGGUUAGUGAGGAUCACUGGUGACUGUUGUACUGAAGAGCAAUGCUUGUCAUACUUUGAUGGAACCCAAAUCUAAAUGUCGCUAUAUCGAGAGUUGAGAAGAUGAAUUGUUCGAUGAAAGCCAUUGAUUUAUGAAAACACUAAAAGCCAUUUGAAAGAUAUAUAGUAAAGGUCAGAUAUUCCAUGAAGACCAUUGACUGAUCAAAAAUCCAUAGAGCAAUGAAAACCAUGGCUGAUAGAUCUACUAACUAGCGAGAGCCAUUGACUAACAAAGGUUGUUGGGUAAUGAAAACCAUUUACUGAUGAAGUCCACUAACUAGUGAAGGUCACUGACCAAUGAAGGUUGCUUAUCUAUGAUAACCAAUGAUAGAUAAAGGUUGUUGACUAAUGAAGGUCACUGACUUACGAAGGCCGCUGACUAACGAGAACUACUUACCGAGUAUAACUAACGAUAAAUGAAGGAGGUUGACUGAUGAAGGUCACUGACUAAUGAGGGUUGUUGACUGAUUUUAACCAAUGAUAGAUGAAGGUCGCUGACUAAUGAAGGUCAUGGACUGUCGAAGGCCACUGACUAAUUAGGGCUACUAACUUAUUAUAAGUUAUAACCAAUGGUAGAUGAAGACUACUGAUUGAUGAAGGUCACUAACAAACAAAGGCUGAAUUUCAUGAGGGCUACUGGGGUUGUGAAAAAUGUCCAUACAACAAAGAAAAUAUACUCUAUAUGAGGGUUAGCUUGGGAGGAUAUGAGUUAUGUAUAGUGGUGGUGACCUAUUUGUUAGUAACAAAAAGAGAUUCAAAAAAGAGAAGAUAGGUGUUUUGAGAUAGCCGAUUAAGGCCAAGCAUGUAUAUAGCCACUCAGACAUGCUUUUGGUGUGGCAAGAUGGUCACAUCGGUGACAAGUUGUGUGUGAAGGUUAAUUUUUUAAAUUUAUCUUGAGAGAUGAAUAUUAGAUGAAAAUUGUGGCGCAUAUAAAUCAUAAGUCCAAAAAAUAUUAAGCAUUAUAAUUGUGAGAAUUUAUAGGUUGACGAGAAAUACUCCUUUAUCCUAGCUUGGUUCCUGUACGUGGAUGCCAUUCAGAUAUUCAACGCACACACUUCUUACGUGCUGAGCACUUUUUUUUGUUUUUGAAGAAUCGUGCUAAGCACCUUUCAAGGUCGACAUGCAUAGGGAUUAUGCUGAUGCACUUUGCGCCCAUUUGUGUUUUAUAUAUGCCAUAGAAAAUGUGUCCAAUAUUGGUACUAAUGGUUUUUAUAUUUCCCCUGAUACAAAUUGUAUUAUAUUUCAUGGUGCUACCCCUAAAUAAGUGCUUCCCUGUUCUAUAAAAUUUUCUUCAUUCAUCAUAUAAAUUACAUCCUAAACUCCCGCAUGCAACUCUACCCGGAAGCACUAUAAAUAAGGCCCAUGUGCCCACCCCUCUCAAAUCCAAGCUGCCGCAGAGACCUUUCUCCUUAAGCAAGUAGCUUCACCGAGUGUGCAGGUUUUGCCAUGGCGGCUCCUACCUUGAUGCAAUGCUUGGUCGCCAUUUCCCUCCUCUCCUGUGUCGCCCACGCACAGCUCUCGACCACGUUCUAUGCGUCCUCCUGCCCCAAGCUGCAGAGCAUCGUGCGGAAGGCGAUGAUCCAGGCCCUCAGCAAUGACCAGAGGAUGGGCGCCUCUCUGCUCAGGCUCUUCUUCCACGACUGCUUUGUUCAAGUACUAGCUAGAAUCCUCACACUAUUCAGAUCAAGUUCUCCGCCGGUAACAGUACGUACGUAAUAACAGUAUGUGAUGAUGACAGGGUUGCGACGGCUCGAUCCUUCUCGACGCCGGAGGGGAGAAGACGGCAGGCCCCAACGCCAACUCGGUGCGCGGCUAUGAGGUCAUCGACACCAUCAAGACGAACGUGGAGGCCGCGUGCCCCGGCGUCGUGUCGUGCGCCGACAUCCUCGCCCUUGCCGCGCGAGAAGGAACGAAUCUGGUACGCACGCCUACUAGUUUGUUUGUUUGUUUAAUUACAUGUCAUAUUCAGUUAGUUAAUGACGCGUCUAACACUUAUCCUUCGUUUGUUGUUGUCCGCACGUACGUAGCUCGGCGGGCCGACCUGGAACGUGCCGCUGGGCCGGCGGGACUCGACGACGGCGAGCGCGUCCCUCGCCAACAGCAACCUCCCGCCGGCGACGGCCAGCCUGGGCACGCUCAUCUCGCUGUUCGGCAGGCAGGGCCUGUCGGCGCGCGACAUGACGGCGCUGUCGGGCGCGCACUCCAUCGGGCAGGCCCGGUGCACCACCUUCCGCAGCCGCAUCUACGGCGACACCAACAUCAACGCCUCCUUCGCGGCGCUCCGGCAGCAGACGUGCCCGCAGUCCGGCGGCGACGGCAACCUGGCGUCCAUCGACGAGCAGACGCCGACGAGGUUCGACACGGACUACUACACCAACCUGAUGUUGCAACGGGGCCUGUUCCACUCAGACCAGGAGCUCUUCAACGGCGGGUCGCAGGACGCGCUGGUGAGGCAGUACAGCGCCAGCUCCUCGCUCUUCAACAGCGACUUCGUGGCGGCCAUGAUUAAGAUGGGCAACGUUGGGGUGCUUACCGGCACCGCUGGACAGAUCAGGCGCAACUGCCGGGUCGUCAACAGCUAGAUGCAUGCCAUAUAAAAAAAUAGCAGGCUACAGUGGCGCUAUAGCGGUUAGAGAGACUCGAUGUUAAGUUAUUGCUCUUUGUGUCAUUAUAUCAAUUUUAGCCGCUAUUGUGCCGCUAAGUGGCAUAUUUUGACCGUUAUAACGGUGCUAUUUCAUCUUUUGUGUACUUAUCAUUUAUUUGCUAAUUUAAUUAGUUAUUUUCUGCUUCUCAUUUGCUUACUAAUUACUUAUAAUCAUGUUGUAAUGUCAUAUUGGUAUACUAUUACUUAUACUUGUGGAAUCUUAGAAAUAUAUUUAUGUUCAUUGAAUUUCAAUGUUUUUAUAUCAAUUACUAAUGUUUUCAUACCUUUUUAUAAAAACGUUAUUUGUCAUAGUACCACUAUAGCGUCGUUGUAGCUUCAUAGCUGUUAAAGAAAGCUGUCACUAUUUUCAAUGUCACUAUUUUUAAUAGUAUGCUAUUUUAAACUAGGAUUUAUACUUGUAACUUUGCAAGCUUGCUAAUCGAUCGACCGCCGGAUGGAACGGAAUCCACCGACAUGUACGGCAAGCUAGCUUAUCAUGAAUACGGAGUAGUAGAAUAAAUGGUGAACGACCACGCAAGCAGUGAACAACGAAGAAACAGUGAAGGCACACUGGGGAAGAAAAUCGCUCAUACUGUAUCACCUCGCGUUCGGCUGUUGUGUACUCUAGUCCUGUCAUGUUCUCCACUGAAAGCAAACAAAAAAAAAGGAGUGGAAUAAUUCACUGAGCCAAAAUCUGCAAAUCUAGUUCCGCGCCAAGGCCAAGCUAUGUGCUCCCCCUUUAUGGGCCCGCCUAGUUCCUACCGACUAACAAACACAAACUUUUUUAGAAAAAAAUAUAUAUUAAUAUCUCAACUUCUAAAUCGACUAAUGCAUAUAGCUACUACUUAUUACACCACAAGCACUUUAAAAACACACAAACACAACACACGGUAGCUUCCUCACACCGAAAACAGUCACCACAAUGCAAAAGACCAUUUGCCGUCAUACCACGUAGGUCAUCUUAGCAACUCAAAUCUGCUAGCCACCAUCUCUCACGUUGGCCUCCUUUCCAGCUUCGUGGUGGCCUCCCGUGCUGGCC